RNAcentral lists this ribosomal RNA (711 nucleotides) under uncultured bacterium. RNAcentral describes it as "bacterial SSU rRNA". It matches the Rfam family "Bacterial small subunit ribosomal RNA", at positions 97 to 796 of the family's 1533-position model. The record is from RNAcentral.
GGCGAACGGGUGAGUAACACGUGGAUAACCUGCCCUCGGCACCGGGAUAGCCCGGGGAAACCCGGAUUAAUACCGGAUAGCCCUUCAGCCCUUCGGGGCGGUCGGAAAAGGUAGCUUCGGCCUCUGGCCGAGGAUGGGUCCGCGGCGGAUUAGCUUGUUGGUGGGGUAACGGCCUACCAAGGCGACGAUCCGUAGCUGGUCUGAGAGGACGAUCAGCCACACUGGGACUGAGACACGGCCCAGACUCCUACGGGAGGCAGCAGUGGGGAAUCUUGCGCAAUGGGCGAAAGCCUGACGCAGCGACGCCGCGUGAGGGAAGAAGGCCUUCGGGUUGUAAACCUCUUUCAGGAGGGACGAAGCUACUCGGGUGAAUAGCCCAGAGGGUGACGGUACCUCCAGAAGAAGCCCCGGCUAACUACGUGCCAGCAGCCGCGGUAAUACGUAGGGGGCAAGCGUUGUCCGGAUUUACUGGGCGUAAAGAGCGUGUAGGCGGCCAGGCAGGUCUGUUGUGAAAACUGGAGGCUUAACCUCCAGACGUCGACAGAAACCGUCUGGCUAGAGUCCGGAAGAGGAGAGUGGAAUUCCUGGUGUAGCGGUGAAAUGCGCAGAUAUCAGGAAGAACACCAAUGGCGAAGGCAGCUCUCUGGGACGGUACUGACGCUGAGACGCGAAAGCGUGGGGAGCGAACAGGAUUAGAUACCCUGGUAGUCC